CCACGGGAGGCAGCAGUGAGGAAUAUUGGUCAAUGGGCGAGAGCCUGAACCAGCCAAGUCGCGUGAGGGAAGACGGUCCUAUGGAUUGUAAACCUCUUUUGCCGGGGAGCAAAAAGCGGUACGUGUACCGCAUCGAGAGUACUCGGAGAAAAAGCAUCGGCUAACUCCGUGCCAGCAGCCGCGGUAAUACGGAGGAUGCGAGCGUGAUCCGGAUUUAUUGGGUUAAAGGGGGGCUCAGGCGGCGUGUUAAGUCAGCGGGAAAAGUUCGGGGGUGAACCCCGACAAGCCGUUGAAACUGGCUUGCUAGAGUGGGCGAGAAGUAUGCGGAAUGCGUGGUGUAGCGGUGAAAUGCAUAGAUAUCACGCAGAACUCCGAUUGCGAAGGCAGCAUACCGGCGCCCAACUGACGCUCAGGCACGAAAGCGUGGGUAUCGAACAGGAUUAGAUACCCGUGUAGUC
RNAcentral lists this ribosomal RNA (458 nucleotides) under uncultured bacterium. RNAcentral describes it as "partial 16S ribosomal RNA". It matches the Rfam family "Bacterial small subunit ribosomal RNA", at positions 339 to 795 of the family's 1533-position model. The record is from RNAcentral.